CGGCUUGUCCCUUCGGUCGGC
RNAcentral lists this non-coding RNA (21 nucleotides) under Arabidopsis thaliana (thale cress). The record is from RNAcentral. Lineage: Eukaryota; Viridiplantae; Streptophyta; Magnoliopsida; Brassicales; Brassicaceae.